GCGGCCGCGGAACCCCCCGCCCUUCGCUUCCCAGCACCCGGGCGAGGCGGCCCCGAGCCCCGCGGUGUGUGUCCCCCCCCGCUUCCAUCACAGCGCUCCGCGGCGACCUAAAGCGGCGGAUUUUCAGAGCGAGAUUAAAAUCUCCUUAUGCAACGCGCGUUGUUAAUUGCUGACUGCGGAGCUGACAGUGAGGUGAUGCGAGCGGAGCCCUCCCCCGGCACCGCGGGCACGGCCUCGGCUCCCUCGGUGACAAGGGGACGGAGACACCGCUUGCUGCCCUGAGAGCUUCGAUCCCGGGCGAUAUAUCUAUAUACUAUCUAUUUAUGUGUAAACGUGUGCGUGCAGAGGUGGUCGUCUUGUUUUCGGCCGGUUUGUAAAGGAGAAUGUAAAGGUUUGCUUUCCAUAUGUUACAUCUCUUGAGCGCAAAAAUGAUCUCAUCUCUCUUGAAAGGGGUUUAAAAUCAUCUCUGCUCAAUCUCAAGACACUCGAAACGCUCCCAAAGAGAGAACAUCAAAGCGGCACACGGCUGUAUGGGAACAGGAGGUACAGAUGAGGUGUUGCUUCACCUGACUAUUACAGGAUUUACUGUUGCCUUCGUGGAACGUGCUCAACCCUCUCAUCCUACCAGAAGAGAUGAGAAAUACUGAGGUUAUCUCUACAGUGCAGAACUGAGGUGGAAUUACUUCACAUCGGCAAAGGCCAUCGCACGGAUUCUGAAAUAAAGAAUCAACAGCUCCAUUUAACCUCAUUCUUCCUGGUUUUUCAGCCGUCCCCAGCAGAGGCAUCUCUCAACCCACUCCAGAACCCUGAAUCCCGAGUCUAAGUCAGUGAUUCAUCACUUGCUGGCAGACAAACUAAGCGGGAAAGAGGCGAUGAAGACAAUGGUCGGUAAAGGUUUGCAUUAUGCAAUGAAACUAAAUUCACUUUCUUCUACUUUCACUUCAAGUUGUUUAAACAGGCUAAGAAAGUCCCUGACAAAACAAAAUCCACUGGAGCCUCCACGGGAGGUUGCAGGGAGCCUGUUUUUCCCAUGAUUAAAAUUCUCUUGGCAGUAUUUUUCAUCAGUUUAUUUCAAUAUUAAGACACAUAAAAUAACACAUACGUGUUCCUUUCCAACUGUAACUCACUGCUGCAGAAAGAAUUCCAUCACAAUCUAAAACUUAGACAAAAAUGUCUAAUUACUUGCCCACUCCUCAUUAGAAGUUUAAAAUCCAUUUUCAAACAUCUCUAUGUGCAGCUUCCUACCUCUGCUUUAUUUCACCACUGUGCUCUCCUAGAUCCUGGGGAAAAUAAAGUCACCUUGCAUCAAAGCUGAAGUUGUUAUUUCAAUCCCAGAGCAAGAUCUAUUUUACAAGCUAUAGGAUAUUAUUCACCUCACUAGUAACAAUCCAGCAUCAACAUCAACCAAAUAAGCACUCACAAAAAUCACAGAAUCCCAGCCUGGUUUGGGUUGAAGGGACCUUAAAGCUCAUCCAGUCCCAACCCCCUGCCAUGGGCAGGGACACCUUCCACUAGAGCAGGUUGCUCCAAGCCCCUGUGUCCAACCUGGCCUUGAACACUGCCAGGGAUGGGGCAGCCACAGCUUCUCUGGGCACCCUGUGCCAGCGCCUCAGCACCCUCACGGGGAAGAGCUUCUGCCUCAGAGCUCAUCUCAAUCUCCCCUGUUCCAGUUUGAACCCAUCACCCCUUGUCCUAUCACCACAGUCCCUAAUAAAGAGUUUGAAAAUACAUGAGAGAAGGCACAAAAGGAAACCUCAGGUCACCAAUCCGUGACUUUACACACACAUGUGCACGCAGUGCUCAUACUUUCACAUUCUGGACCAUCCCCUCCAGGAAAUCCAAGGAUUCUGUGCAUCAGUUUAAGUCCCAUCUGGAUGAGGUACCUCACCCGGUGUUUAAGAGCGGCACGUCCCGCUGCUCGGUGCUGGGGGGCGGCACAGCA
Molecule: long non-coding RNA, 1942 nt
Organism: Strigops habroptila (Kakapo)
Lineage: Eukaryota; Metazoa; Chordata; Aves; Psittaciformes; Psittacidae
Exons: 3
Source: RefSeq, a predicted model, not a curated record